Molecule: ribosomal RNA, 448 nt
Filed under: uncultured bacterium
Lineage: Bacteria
Description: bacterial SSU rRNA
Rfam family: Bacterial small subunit ribosomal RNA
Source: RNAcentral
UCCAGACUCCUACGGGAGGCAGCAGUGGGGGAUAUUGCACAAUGGGGGGAACCCUGAUGCAGCGACGCCGCGUGGGUGAAGGAGUGCUUCGGCAUGUAAAGCCCUAUCGGCAGGGAAGAAGCAAGACGGUACCUGACUAAGAAGCCCCGGCUAACUACGUGCCAGCAGCCGCGGUAAUACGUAGGGGGCGAGCGUUAUCCGGAUUCACUGGGUGUAAAGGGAGCGUAGACGGCCGUGCAAGCCAGGGGUGAAAGCCCGGGGCCCAACCCCGGGACUGCCCUUGGAACUGCAUGGCUGGAGUGCGGGAGGGGCAGGCGGAAUUCCUGGUGUAGCGGUGAAAUGCGUAGAUAUCAGGAGGAACACCAGUGGCGAAGGCGGCUUGCUGGACAGUAACUGACGUUGAGGCUCGAAAGCGUGGGGAGCAAACAGGAUUAGAUACCCGUGUAUA